CGCUUCUUUUUCCACCGGAGCUUGCUCCACCGGAAAAAGAGGAGUGGCGAACGGGUGAGUAACACGUGGGUAACCUGCCCAUCAGAAGGGGAUAACACUUGGAAACAGGUGCUAAUACCGUAUAACAAUCGAAACCGCAUGGUUUUGAUUUGAAAGGCGCUUUCGGGUGUCGCUGAUGGAUGGACCCGCGGUGCAUUAGCUAGUUGGUGAGGUAACGGCUCACCAAGGCGACGAUGCAUAGCCGACCUGAGAGGGUGAUCGGCCACAUUGGGACUGAGACACGGCCCAAACUCCUACGGGAGGCAGCAGUAGGGAAUCUUCGGCAAUGGACGAAAGUCUGACCGAGCAACGCCGCGUGAGUGAAGAAGGUUUUCGGAUCGUAAAACUCUGUUGUUAGAGAAGAACAAGGAUGAGAGUAACUGUUCAUCCCUUGACGGUAUCUAACCAGAAAGCCACGGCUAACUACGUGCCAGCAGCCGCGGUAAUACGUAGGUGGCAAGCGUUGUCCGGAUUUAUUGGGCGUAAAGCGAGCGCAGGCGGUUUCUUAAGUCUGAUGUGAAAGCCCCCGGCUCAACCGGGGAGGGUCAUUGGAAACUGGGAGACUUGAGUGCAGAAGAGGAGAGUGGAAUUCCAUGUGUAGCGGUGAAAUGCGUAGAUAUAUGGAGGAACACCAGUGGCGAAGGCGGCUCUCUGGUCUGUAACUGACGCUGAGGCUCGAAAGCGUGGGGAGCAAACAGGAUUAGAUACCCUGGUAGUCCCACGCCCGUAAACGAUGAGUGCUAAGUGUUGGAGGGUUUCCGCCCUUCAGUGCUGCAGCUAACGCAUUAAGCACUCCGCCUGGGGAGUACGACCGCAAGGUUGAAACUCAAAGGAAUUGACGGGGGCCCGCACAAGCGGUGGA
Molecule: ribosomal RNA, 901 nt
Filed under: Enterococcus hirae
Lineage: Bacteria; Bacillati; Bacillota; Bacilli; Lactobacillales; Enterococcaceae
Description: bacterial SSU rRNA
Rfam family: Bacterial small subunit ribosomal RNA
Source: RNAcentral